RNAcentral lists this ribosomal RNA (468 nucleotides) under uncultured bacterium. RNAcentral describes it as "partial 16S ribosomal RNA". It matches the Rfam family "Bacterial small subunit ribosomal RNA", at positions 28 to 507 of the family's 1533-position model. The record is from RNAcentral.
GACGAACGCUGGCGGCGUGCUUAACACAUGCAAGUCGAACGGAAAGGCCCUGCUCUUGUGGGGUGCUCGAGUGGCGAACGGGUGUGAAACACGUGUGUAACCUCCCCCUGACUUUGGGAUAACUUCAGGAAACUGGGGCUAAUACCGGAUAGGAGCUCCUGCUGCAUGGGGGGGGUUGGAAAGUUUCGGCGGUUGGGGGUGGACUCGCGGCAUCUGCGCUUGUUGGUGGGGUUGUGGCUUACCAAGGGUUUGACGGGUAGCCGGCCUGGGAGGGGAGACGGCCACAAUGGGACUAAGAUACGGCCCAGAAUCCUACGGGAGGCAGCGGGGGGGAGUAUUGCGCAAUGGGCGGAAGCGUGAGGCGACAGCGCCGCGUGCGGAAUGACGGCCUUCGGGUUGUAAACCACUUUCGCCUGUAACAAGGCGUGAGUGACGGUAAUGGGUAAAGAAGCACCGGCUAACUACGUG